This is a long non-coding RNA of Ziziphus jujuba (common jujube), 1819 nucleotides long. RefSeq lists it as uncharacterized. NCBI's taxonomy places the organism in Eukaryota, Viridiplantae, Streptophyta, Magnoliopsida, Rosales, Rhamnaceae. The transcript has 2 exons. The record is from RefSeq and is a predicted model, not a curated record.
CCGAUCACCACAAGCCAUGCCUAGGUAAUUGCUAUCCAAUCAUGUAAACAUUGGGAGGGAAUAAAAAACCUUGAAAUAUAUAGAAUAAUCAUCAAUAAGAGUAAGGUAACACGUACAAUCGCAUCUCGCAGAAAGAAAAAGAGAGAAAAAGAUCUAAGAACAGCCUCUUCUGCGGUGAAAGAGCAAUCUCAUCUUUCUAAGUAGCUUCAGCUUUUCAGUUUGUUGGAAGGCAAGGCAACCAAGAAGGAUAAAAAUAGUUCAGUAAAGUGAAAACGGUCUUUUGCCUAGUUGACAAAGAUCCUUUAUUUCACAAAAAGUCUGUCCCACAAAGUGCUUGUUUUCCCUUGUUUCUCUCUCUCUCUCUUUUUCGUUUUCUUCACUGAAAUUAUUCCUUCGAGGUUGCUUAUAAGACCAAUUCCAUCUCUCUUUAUUAUCCAACUUUAAGUUAAAUUAAUCUAUCUAGUCACUGUCUCCUAACAAAAAAUUAGUCAUAAUUAUCAAAUAAUUUUCUUAAUAAUAUUUGAUGAUCUCAACUUAACCCAUAUUAGCACACAGAUAAUUGUUUCCUAAUUUUUGAUGGGGCUUUCUUGGCUCUGACUGAGCUUCACUAGCAAUGAGAUUGGUGACAUGUUUACCAAACCCUCUAUCCUCGUUAUUCAAACUUAAGACAAUUUCCAACUUUUAAAGAUUGGUUUAUUGAAAUAAUAUGGAGACUAGUGGACUAAAUACAUAUAUACCGUCAAAAUUCACCUUUUUUUAUGUUUUGAAAAUUCCCAAUAAAGAGUAGAAUAGAAUUUUCUCCCUUUUUUAUUUUUUUUAUUUUUUUGUGUUUUUUGACCCCCUAAUAAAUGAUUUAAAUUAAUAUAAUAAUGUUUAAAUCUAAAAUUAUAAAAGUAUGUAUAUUAUGGAUUUACACGUAAUGAUUCCAGAAACCCACCCAAAGUCAAACAAGUGGUGGCUUGUGCUAGCAUUAAAUAUAUUAAAUUUAGAUAUUGCUAUUGCUGUUGACUAAUCGUAGAUGACCAGCCGUCCACUAAGCUGAUGCCAACACUAUUCUAGUCUGAAUGGCCACAAGACAGAAAUCAUACUAAUUGCCACCAGAUCAUCAAAUAGAAUACGGCAAACGACGCACACUGGUCAAAUUUCAUUGGUGUACCCAACUUUUCUACUGUAUAACGGACUAGAACCACCCUCCUUUUUCAAAAUAUCAAACUCCCUUUACAAGCAAAAGCGGAAUUUCAAUUUGCAGCUAAAAUUCAUCAACCAAACUCGUUAAACAGAAAGUGGAAAAAGGAUCCAACUUUUCUACUGUAUAACGGACUAAACCCAGCCUCUUUUUUAAAGAUUGGAAACCAUAAAUCAAACUCCCUUUACAAGCAAAAGAAGGAAUUUCAAUUUGCAGCUAAGACUCAUUAACGGAAACUCGUUAAACAGAAAAUAGGAAAAGGAUCCUACAAAACAGCAGAAAAAUAACCAAGCUCAAAAAGAUGCAAGCGAUGAGAUAAAUUUCUUAUUACCCCCAGAAAGGAUAUACAAAUUACAAGGAAAAAGGAAAUCCACCUUCACUCAUUGCUCUAAACUACUAGUGCAAAGUUAGAGGAGCUCUAUAAGGUAAUUCUACUGAAAUCUGCCUAAAAUUCUAAGGGCAUAUCGACCCUAAAAGGCUAAUGUUACAUAGAUACAAACACCACGAGCAACUAGAUUGCCAUGACUUCUUAAAAUAAACAUUUCCCGAGAUGAGAUUGCUAACUGCAUUACAUGGACUGCGAAAAGAGAUAGCCAUCGAACGGAUGCACUAUAAAGAGUUUGUAUAUAUACU